GUGAUGACAACACAACAAGCGACCGGACGGGGCAUGGGCGCGCCCCUGCGGGCCCCGGACGUGGAGACGCUCGAGUCGGGCUGACGCGCGCGCCGGGAACGAACUCUUGCGUGUGACUUGGGAUGACCGCUUGGGAUGAGUGAUGCCAAUGGCACUGGGAGAGAGGAUGAGGAAAAGCGGAAUGAGGAAGUGCGCUCCUGUGUUAGCGCCCGUGCCUCCUCUCACACAGGCUCCACACUGCUGCACCCAGCCUUGCGCAUGCAUCUGUUUUCUACCUCUUAGGACUCACUUCUGCAAUAGGUGUCUUGGGGACACAAAGGAAGCCCCAAACCCAGGUGCCUCCACGUGUAAACUCCAAAUAAAGCUGCUGAAACAUCAACACUCCAUACGGGAAACAAGGGAAGGCCGCCCCCAAAUUUAAUUGUUACAGAAUUUUUAAAAUGUCGAUAACAAACACACCAUCAUUGUAAAAAAAAGAGAGAAGAAAAGGAAAGAAAGAAAAAAAAAUUCAGGAAAACAGAGAGAAGAAAGUAUUCACCCAAAUCCCAUCGACUAAUCGAUUUCUGGGACAUGACGUGGGAAGCCGUUUAUCCUAUGUUAAUGGCUAGUUACUCUUCAGAUGAACUUAAAAAUGGACCUGUCCAAGAUUGACCAUGUGUUGGUUCUCACUCUGUCACCCAGGCUGGAGUGCAGUGGCAGGAUCCCAGCUCACUGCAACCUCCACCUCCCAGGUUCAAGCGAUUCUUGUGCCUCAGCCUCCUGAGUAGCUGGGAUUACAGGUCACGAAAGACAAGGAGAGACUGAGGAACUGUUUCAGAAUAAAGGAGACUAACAAGAGAUGACAACUAAAUGUUGGAUACUGAACCAGACUGACUGUUCUGUGCCAUAAAGGACACAGUUACAGUAACUGGUGAGUUUCAGUGGGUCUCCGGAUUAGAUGGCAGUACUGCAUCGCUGUGAAUGUUGCUUUAGAUCCUGCACUGUCACUAUGUUGGAAAGCGUUUUCGUCAGGAAAUACUCAUUCAAGAAUUUAAGGUUAUGGGCAUCACAUCUGGAGUAAAUGGAGUAAAUUCCCAUGUGGCACACAAGUUGCAUGUGAGCACGCGCGCAUGUACCUAUGUGGACAAAUAUAGCUACAAAUAAACAGAAUAGAACACGUGAUACAGCAACAGGGGAACCUGGGUCAAGGCUGGCCAAGAGUUCUUUGUGUUAUUCUAACAAAUUUUCUCUAAGUUUGAAAUAAUUUAAAAAAAAAUUUUAAUAUUAAGGAAAACAAAUAGUUUCUUUCUGAUAAUAGAACAUAAAACUGCUAAUUAUCUGCUUAAACCAAUGAAAAACUGGUUGUAGCUGUGCGCCACACCCUAGUUCGGUAUCUCUUUACUCUUCAAAUUUGUUAAUCUUUUUUUUCCUUCUUCCCUUUCCUUCUUUCUUCUUGAUGCCUCAGGUUUAGUAGUGGCACUCAAAGGCAGUGUGUGCUGUUAACAGAGCUCUAGGUUUACUAGUCCUUAUGUCAAAAAUCAGAUAAUUUUAAAAGCCAGAUGAAAGAAAACAUUCUAUAAGUUCUAUUAUGCUCUGUAACACAUAGCACCAUGAAACCAGAAUAAUAUUAAGCUCUGUGAUAAAACUGUUGUUAAUUAAAGUAUUUCUAAUUACUUUAAAUGUCAGUUUAAUUCAAAAAUUAUGUUUUACUACUUUCUGUUCUACUGGAACAUAGUGGCAAAUAAACAGACGACUAAAAGACUCAAAGUAAGACUUAUUUUAUCUUUAAAUAAUGGUAACAGUUUACUAAAAAUGAAUACGAAAAAGGAAUUACACUACGGCAAAACUGGAAAUUAGAAAAAGCAAAGGAUAACUACUACUAAUAUUUUAACCAUAUAUAUUAUGUUUAACAUCAUACAUACAUAACAUACAUAUGAAAGACCACUUCUAUGAGGUGUUAAUGUAGCAUCUGAAAAACCUGGUGUGUCUAACAAUCCAAAUGAAUUAUCUGCCGCCUGAAUGUUUCUAAAACAGUUUAAUGGUAGAAUAAUA
Long non-coding RNA from Symphalangus syndactylus (siamang), 2031 nucleotides. RefSeq lists it as uncharacterized. The record is from RefSeq and is a predicted model, not a curated record. NCBI's taxonomy places the organism in Eukaryota, Metazoa, Chordata, Mammalia, Primates, Hylobatidae.